This 305-nucleotide ribosomal RNA is filed under the name uncultured bacterium. RNAcentral's name for it is "partial 16S ribosomal RNA". It matches the Rfam family "Bacterial small subunit ribosomal RNA", at positions 506 to 809 of the family's 1533-position model. The record is from RNAcentral.
ACAGCAGCAGCCACGGUAAUACGGAGGGUGCAAGCGUUAAUCGGAAUUACUGGGCGUAAAGCGCACGCAGGCGGUCUGACAAGUCAGAUGUGAAAUCCCCGGGCUUAACCUGGGAACUGCAUUUGAAACUGUCAGGCUGGAGUCUUGUAGAGGGGGGUGGAAUUCCAGGUGUAGCGGUGAAAUGCGUAGAGAUCUGGAGGAAUACCGGUGGCGAAGGCGGCCCCCUGGACAAAGACUGACGCUCAGGUGCGAAAGCGUGGGGAGCAAACAGGAUUAGAUACCCCAGUAGUCCCUGUCUUUAUACA